This 76-nucleotide transfer RNA is filed under the name Alphaproteobacteria bacterium. Its description in RNAcentral is "tRNA-Ala". It matches the Rfam family "tRNA". Rfam says of the family: Transfer RNA (tRNA) molecules are approximately 80 nucleotides in length. Their secondary structure includes four short double-helical elements and three loops (D, anti-codon, and T loops). Further hydrogen bonds mediate the characteristic L-shaped molecular structure. tRNAs have two regions of fundamental functional importance: the anti-codon, which is responsible for specific mRNA codon recognition, and the 3' end, to which the tRNAs corresponding amino acid is attached (by aminoacyl-tRNA synthetases). tRNAs cope with the degeneracy of the genetic code in two manners: having more than one tRNA (with a specific anti-codon) for a particular amino acid; and 'wobble' base-pairing, i.e. permitting non-standard base-pairing at the 3rd anti-codon position. Lineage: Bacteria; Pseudomonadati; Pseudomonadota; Alphaproteobacteria. RNAcentral also lists the same sequence under 4 other names. The record is from RNAcentral.
GGGGUCGUAGCUCAGUUGGGAGAGCGCUACAAUGGCAUUGUAGAGGUCAGGGGUUCGAUUCCCCUCGGCUCCACCA